GAUGAACGCUGGCGGCGUGCCUAAUACAUGCAAGUCGAGCGAACAGACGAGGAGCUUGCUCCUCUGACGUUAGCGGCGGACGGGUGAGUAACACGUGGAUAACCUACCUAUAAGACUGGGAUAACUUCGGGAAACCGGAGCUAAUACCGGAUAAUAUAUUGAACCGCAUGGUUCAAUAGUGAAAGACGGUUUUGCUGUCACUUAUAGAUGGAUCCGCGCCGCAUUAGCUAGUUGGUAAGGUAACGGCUUACCAAGGCGACGAUGCGUAGCCGACCUGAGAGGGUGAUCGGCCACACUGGAACUGAGACACGGUCCAGACUCCUACGGGACGCAGCAGUAGCGAAUCUUCCGCAAUGGGCGAAAGCCUGACGGAGCAACGCCGCGUGAGUGAUGAAGGUCUUCGGAUCGUAAAACUCUGUUAUUAGGGAAGAACAAAUGUGUAAGUAACUAUGCACGUCUUGACGGUACCUAAUCAGAAAGCCACGGCUAACUACGUG
Molecule: ribosomal RNA, 497 nt
Filed under: uncultured bacterium
Lineage: Bacteria
Description: partial 16S ribosomal RNA
Rfam family: Bacterial small subunit ribosomal RNA
Source: RNAcentral